UCCGGCGUCGCCCAACGGCAGGGCACCGCACUGUUGAUGCGCACAGGUGAAGGUUCGAAUCCUUCCGCCGGAGC
Molecule: transfer RNA, 74 nt
Filed under: Actinoplanes xinjiangensis
Lineage: Bacteria; Bacillati; Actinomycetota; Actinomycetes; Micromonosporales; Micromonosporaceae
Description: tRNA-Asn
Rfam family: tRNA
About the family: Transfer RNA (tRNA) molecules are approximately 80 nucleotides in length. Their secondary structure includes four short double-helical elements and three loops (D, anti-codon, and T loops). Further hydrogen bonds mediate the characteristic L-shaped molecular structure. tRNAs have two regions of fundamental functional importance: the anti-codon, which is responsible for specific mRNA codon recognition, and the 3' end, to which the tRNAs corresponding amino acid is attached (by aminoacyl-tRNA synthetases). tRNAs cope with the degeneracy of the genetic code in two manners: having more than one tRNA (with a specific anti-codon) for a particular amino acid; and 'wobble' base-pairing, i.e. permitting non-standard base-pairing at the 3rd anti-codon position.
Source: RNAcentral